Molecule: ribosomal RNA, 442 nt
Filed under: uncultured bacterium
Lineage: Bacteria
Description: partial 16S ribosomal RNA
Rfam family: Bacterial small subunit ribosomal RNA
Source: RNAcentral
CCUACGGGAGGCAGCAGUGGGGAAUAUUGGGCAAUGGGUGCAAGCCUGACCCAGCAACGCCGCGUGAAGGAAGAAGGCUUUCGGGUUGUAAACUUCUUUUAAGAGGGAAGAGCAGAAGACGGUACCUCUUGAAUAAGCCACGGCUAACUACGUGCCAGCAGCCGCGGUAAUACGUAGGUGGCAAGCGUUGUCCGGAUUUACUGGGUGUAAAGUGCGUGCAGCCGGGAAGACAAGUCAGAUGUGAAAUCCCGCGGCUCAACCGCGGAACUGCAUUUGAAACUGUUUUUCUUGAGUACCGGAGAGGUCAUCGGAAUUCCUUGUGUAGCGGUGAAAUGCGUAGAUAUAAGGAAGAACACCAGUGGCGAAGGCGGAUGACUGGACGGCAACUGACGGUGAGGCGCGAAAGCGUGGGGAGCGAACAGGAUUAGAUACCCGGGUAGUC